UACGGAGGGGGCUAGCGUUGUUCGGAAUUACUGGGCGUAAAGCGCACGUAGGCGGAUUGUUAAGUCGGGGGUGAAAUCCCGGGGCUCAACCCCGGAACUGCCUUCGAUACUGGCGAUCUUGAGGUCGGGAGAGGUGAGUGGAAUGGCGAGUGUAGAGGUGAAAUUCGUAAAUAUUCGCCGGAACACCAGUGGCGAAGGCGGCUCACUGGCCCGAUACUGACGCUGAGGUGCGAAAGCGUGGGGAGCAAACAGG
This 253-nucleotide ribosomal RNA is filed under the name uncultured bacterium. RNAcentral's name for it is "partial 16S ribosomal RNA". It matches the Rfam family "Bacterial small subunit ribosomal RNA", at positions 524 to 776 of the family's 1533-position model. The record is from RNAcentral.